GACGAACGCUGGCGGCGUGCUUAACACAUGCAAGUCGAGCGGUAAGGCCCUUUCGGGGGUACACGAGCGGCGAACGGGUGAGUAACACGUGGGUGACCUGCCCUCAGCUCUGGGAUAAGCCUGGGAAACUGGGUCUAAUACUGGAUAUGACUCCACGGUGCAUGUCGUGGGGUGGAAAGCCUUGUGCGGCUGAGGAUGGGCCCGCGGCCUAUCAGCUUGUUGGUGGGGUGANGGCCUACCAAGGCGACGACGGGUAGCCGGCCUGAGAGGGCGACCGGCCACACUGGGACUGAGAUACGGCCCAGACUCCUACGGGAGGCAGCAGUGGGGAAUCUUGCGCAAUGGGCGAAAGCCUGACGCAGCGACGCCGCGUGAGGGAUGACGGCCUGGUGUAA
RNAcentral lists this ribosomal RNA (395 nucleotides) under uncultured bacterium. Its description in RNAcentral is "bacterial SSU rRNA". It matches the Rfam family "Bacterial small subunit ribosomal RNA", at positions 28 to 428 of the family's 1533-position model. The record is from RNAcentral.